CGUACGUGUUGUAAUGGUUCUCCUCGAUCCGCUCGAGGAACAGGCACUCUUCGCCCGGUAGCUGCUGGAAGAGAGCCGCGGGUGGCGGCAGUGAGCCCCUGCCCCGUGUCUGUGCCCUGCCAAGGUGACACGGGGCAUGCAGAGCUACGAGGUUGCUGCAGACCUCAGAACCUCUCGGUGCCCGCUCCCGCAGGAGCCUCGCGCUUACCGAGCCGUACAGGAGCCCGUUGGUGUCCAUUGCCAGAUGCGUCCCUUUGGGGUCGCUAUUAGAACAGCGAGAUUUCCUAGGGGAGAACAGCCGUGAGGGAAGAAGCGUUCUGUGUCAGCCGAGGCCUAAAUUCCUUCUGGCAGCGAGCAGUUCCCGACGGGCCCCUCU
Long non-coding RNA from Oxyura jamaicensis (ruddy duck), 376 nucleotides. RefSeq lists it as uncharacterized. NCBI's taxonomy places the organism in Eukaryota, Metazoa, Chordata, Aves, Anseriformes, Anatidae. The record is from RefSeq and is a predicted model, not a curated record. The transcript has 3 exons.